UCGAACGCGAAAGGGGAGCAAUCCCUGAGUGGAGUGGCAAACGGGUGAGUAACGCGUGGGUGACCUGCCUCAGAGUGGGGGAUAACGUCCCGAAAGGGACGCUAAUACCGCAUAACAUCCUGCCUUUGGAAAGGCGGAGAUCAAAGCCGGGGAUCGCAAGACCUGGCGCUUGGAGAGGGGCCCGCGUCUGAUUAGCUAGUUGGUAGGGUAAUGGCCUACCAAGGCAACGAUCAGUAUCCGGCCUGAGAGGGCGGACGGACACACUGGGACUGAGACACGGCCCAGACUCCUACGGGAGGCAGCAGUGGGGAAUUGUUCGCAAUGGGCGCAAGCCUGACGACGCAACGCCGCGUGGAGGAUGAAGAUUUUCGGAUCGUAAACUCCUUUCGAUCGAGACGAAUGGCCUUUGGGCUAAUAACCCGAGGGAAUGACGGUACCGAGAGAAGAAGCCCCGGCUAACUCCGUGCCAGCAGCCGCGGUAAUACGGGGGGGGCAAGCGUUGUUCGGAAUUACUGGGCGUAAAGGGCUCGUAGGUGGCCAACUAAGUCAGACGUGAAAUCCCUCGGCUUAACCGGGGAACUGCGUCUGAUACUGGAUGGCUUGAGUUUGGGAGAGGGAUGCGGAAUUCCAGGUGUAGCGGUGAAAUGCGUAGAUAUCUGGAGGAACACCGGUGGCGAAGGCGGCAUCCUGGACCAACACUGACGCUGAAGAGCGAAAGCCAGGGGAGCAAACGGGAUUAGAUACCCCGGUAGUCCUGGCCCUAAGCGAUGAAUGCUUGGUGUGGCGGGUAUCGAUCCCUGCCGUGCCGAAGCUAACGCAUUAAGCAUUCCGCCUGGGGAGUACGGUCGCAAGGCUG
Molecule: ribosomal RNA, 856 nt
Filed under: uncultured Acidobacteriota bacterium
Lineage: Bacteria; Pseudomonadati; Acidobacteriota
Description: bacterial SSU rRNA
Rfam family: Bacterial small subunit ribosomal RNA
Source: RNAcentral